UUACAAAAAUCUUUCUUUCUGGUACUUUGGUCUCAACAAGCCCUGUUUUUGAGGACAGUUUUGUUUACAGAGACUUCAUAAUUCAGUUUAUUUAAUGUUGUUCUUGUUUGGAUGUUUAAAGUGUC
Poecilia latipinna (sailfin molly) is the source of this 125-nucleotide long non-coding RNA. RefSeq lists it as uncharacterized. The transcript has 3 exons. The record is from RefSeq and is a predicted model, not a curated record. NCBI's taxonomy places the organism in Eukaryota, Metazoa, Chordata, Actinopteri, Cyprinodontiformes, Poeciliidae.